Molecule: small RNA, 926 nt
Filed under: Pongo abelii (Sumatran orangutan)
Lineage: Eukaryota; Metazoa; Chordata; Mammalia; Primates; Hominidae
Description: retained intron
Source: RNAcentral
GCUUAGUGAGCAGAGGAAGCAGUUUCUCUGGUGCUUUUUUUAAUAGAAUAUUUAAGAGUGCUCAGAAUCUCAACCACCACAGGUUGCAAUAAAUAUUCAGUUUGCUGUUGUGAUUAGAUGGUAUAGAUCAACAGACAACAUGCUGUAAUUUCAGGUUUGAUAUGCCACCAGAAUUUCCUAAUUUUGUUUUUAUAGCUAUCCCUCUUGACUUCGAUGUUAGUUCACCACUGACAUAUGGCACUCCCAGCUCUCGGGUAGAGGGAACACCAAGAAGUGGUGUUAGGGGCACACCUGUGAGACAGAGGCCUGACCUGGGCUCUGCACAGAAGGGCCUGCAAGUGGAUCUGCAGUCUGAUGGGGCAGCAGCAGAAGAUACAGUGGCAAGUGAGCAGUCUCUAGGCCAAAAACUUGUGAUCUGGGGAACAGAUGUAAAUGUGGCAGCAUGCAAAGAAAACUUUCAGAGAUUUCUUCAGCGUUUUAUUGACCCUCUGGCUAAAGAGGAAGAAAAUGUUGGCAUAGAUAUUACUGAACCUCUAUACAUGCAACGACUUGGGGAGAUUAAUGUUAUUGGCGAGCCAUUUUUAAAUGUAAACUGUGAACACAUCAAAUCAUUUGACAAAAAUUUGUAUAGACAACUCGUCUCUUACCCACAGGAAGUUAUUCCAACUUUUGACAUGGCUGUCAAUGAAAUCUUCUUUGACCGUUACCCUGACUCAAUCUUAGAACAUCAGAUUCAAGUGAGACCAUUCAACGCAUUGAAGACUAAGAACAUGAGAAACCUGAAUCCAGAAGACAUUGACCAGCUCAUCACCAUCAGCGGCAUGGUGAUCAGGACAUCCCAGCUGAUUCCCGAGAUGCAGGAGGCCUUCUUCCAGUGCCAAGUGUGUGCCCACACGGCCCGGGUGGAGAUGGACCGCGGCCGCAUU